RNAcentral lists this ribosomal RNA (1540 nucleotides) under Staphylococcus aureus MRSA-118. RNAcentral's name for it is "16S ribosomal RNA". It matches the Rfam family "Bacterial small subunit ribosomal RNA". Lineage: Bacteria; Bacillati; Bacillota; Bacilli; Caryophanales; Staphylococcaceae. The record is from RNAcentral.
AGAGUUUGAUCCUGGCUCAGGAUGAACGCUGGCGGCGUGCCUAAUACAUGCAAGUCGAGCGAACGGACGAGAAGCUUGCUUCUCUGAUGUUAGCGGCGGACGGGUGAGUAACACGUGGAUAACCUACCUAUAAGACUGGGAUAACUUCGGGAAACCGGAGCUAAUACCGGAUAAUAUUUUGAACCGCAUGGUUCAAAAGUGAAAGACGGUCUUGCUGUCACUUAUAGAUGGAUCCGCGCUGCAUUAGCUAGUUGGUAAGGUAACGGCUUACCAAGGCAACGAUGCAUAGCCGACCUGAGAGGGUGAUCGGCCACACUGGAACUGAGACACGGUCCAGACUCCUACGGGAGGCAGCAGUAGGGAAUCUUCCGCAAUGGGCGAAAGCCUGACGGAGCAACGCCGCGUGAGUGAUGAAGGUCUUCGGAUCGUAAAACUCUGUUAUUAGGGAAGAACAUAUGUGUAAGUAACUGUGCACAUCUUGACGGUACCUAAUCAGAAAGCCACGGCUAACUACGUGCCAGCAGCCGCGGUAAUACGUAGGUGGCAAGCGUUAUCCGGAAUUAUUGGGCGUAAAGCGCGCGUAGGCGGUUUUUUAAGUCUGAUGUGAAAGUCCACGGCUCAACCGUGGAGGGUCAUUGGAAACUGGAAAACUUGAGUGCAGAAGAGGAAAGUGGAAUUCCAUGUGUAGCGGUGAAAUGCGCAGAGAUAUGGAGGAACACCAGUGGCGAAGGCGACUUUCUGGUCUGUAACUGACGCUGAUGUGCGAAAGCGUGGGGAUCAAACAGGAUUAGAUACCCUGGUAGUCCACGCCGUAAACGAUGAGUGCUAAGUGUUAGGGGGUUUCCGCCCCUUAGUGCUGCAGCUAACGCAUUAAGCACUCCGCCUGGGGAGUACGACCGCAAGGUUGAAACUCAAAGGAAUUGACGGGGACCCGCACAAGCGGUGGAGCAUGUGGUUUAAUUCGAAGCAACGCGAAGAACCUUACCAAAUCUUGACAUCCUUUGACAACUCUAGAGAUAGAGCCUUCCCCUUCGGGGGACAAAGUGACAGGUGGUGCAUGGUUGUCGUCAGCUCGUGUCGUGAGAUGUUGGGUUAAGUCCCGCAACGAGCGCAACCCUUAAGCUUAGUUGCCAUCAUUAAGUUGGGCACUCUAAGUUGACUGCCGGUGACAAACCGGAGGAAGGUGGGGAUGACGUCAAAUCAUCAUGCCCCUUAUGAUUUGGGCUACACACGUGCUACAAUGGACAAUACAAAGGGCAGCGAAACCGCGAGGUCAAGCAAAUCCCAUAAAGUUGUUCUCAGUUCGGAUUGUAGUCUGCAACUCGACUACAUGAAGCUGGAAUCGCUAGUAAUCGUAGAUCAGCAUGCUACGGUGAAUACGUUCCUGGGUCUUGUACACACCGCCCGUCACACCACGAGAGUUUGUAACACCCGAAGCCGGUGGAGUAACCUUUUAGGAGCUAGCCGUCGAAGGUGGGACAAAUGAUUGGGGUGAAGUCGUAACAAGGUAGCCGUAUCGGAAGGUGCGGCUGGAUCACCU